CACUCUACGGGAGGCAGCAGUGGGGAAUAUUGGACAAUGGGCGCAAGCCUGAUCCAGCCAUGCCGCGUGAGUGAUGAAGGCCCUAGGGUUGUAAAGCUCUUUCACCGGUGAAGAUAAUGACGGUAACCGGAGAAGAAGCCCCGGCUAACUUCGUGCCAGCAGCCGCGGUAAUACGAAGGGGGCUAGCGUUGUUCGGAUUUACUGGGCGUAAAGCGCACGUAGGCGGACUAUUAAGUCAGGGGUGAAAUCCCGGGGCUCAACCCCGGAACUGCCUUUGAUACUGGUAGUCUUGAGUUCGAGAGAGGUGAGUGGAAUUCCGAGUGUAGAGGUGAAAUUCGUAGAUAUUCGGAGGAACACCAGUGGCGAAGGCGGCUCACUGGCUCGAUACUGACGCUGAGGUGCGAAAGCGUGGGGAGCAAACAGGAUUAGAAACCCCUGUAGUCCC
RNAcentral lists this ribosomal RNA (445 nucleotides) under uncultured organism. RNAcentral describes it as "partial 16S ribosomal RNA". It matches the Rfam family "Bacterial small subunit ribosomal RNA", at positions 334 to 797 of the family's 1533-position model. The record is from RNAcentral.